UAAGCGGAGGAAAAGAAACUAACAAGGAUUCCCCUAGUAACUGCGAGUGAAGCGGGAAAAGCUCAAAUUUAAAAUCUGACGGUCUUUGGCCGUCCGAGUUGUAAUUUAGAGAAGCGUCUUCCGCGCCGGACCGUGCACAAGUCUCCUGGAAUGGAGCGUCAUAGAGGGUGAGAAUCCCGUCUUUGGCACGGAUGCCUGGUGCUCUGUGAUGCGCUCUCGAAGAGUCGAGUUGUUUGGGAAUGCAGCUCAAAAUGGGUGGUGAACUCCAUCUAAAGCUAAAUAUUGGCGAGAGACCGAUAGCGAACAAGUACCGUGAGGGAAAGAUGAAAAGCACUUUGGAAAGAGAGUGAAACAGUACGUGAAAUUGUUGAAAGGGAAACGCUUGAAGUCAGUCGCGUCGACCGAGACUCAGCCUUGCCUCGGCUUGGUGUACUUCUCGGCCCGACGGGUCAGCGUCAAUUUUGCCCCUCGGAUAAUGGCAAGGGAAAGGUGGCACCUUUACGGGUGUGUUAUAGUCUCCUGUCGCAUGCGAGGGUUGGGAUUGAGGAACUCAGCGCGCACCUUUGGUGUCGGGGCUUCGGCCCACGUCACGCGCUUAGGAUGCUGGCGUAAUGGCUUUAAACGACC
RNAcentral lists this ribosomal RNA (627 nucleotides) under uncultured Russulaceae. RNAcentral's name for it is "LSU rRNA". It matches the Rfam family "Eukaryotic large subunit ribosomal RNA", at positions 47 to 649 of the family's 3401-position model. Lineage: Eukaryota; Fungi; Basidiomycota; Agaricomycetes; Russulales; Russulaceae. The record is from RNAcentral.